UGGGGCUCUAUGGGGUCUCUAUGGUUCUCUAUGGGUCUGUAUGGGGUCCCUAUGGGUCUCUAUGGGGUUUCUAUGGGGUCUCUAUGUGUCUCUAUGUGUCUCUAUGGGUUCCUAUGGGUCUCUGUGGGUCUCUAUGGGGUCUCUAUGUGUCGCUAUGGGUCUCUGUGGGGUCUCUAUGGGUCCCUAUGGGUCCCUAUGGAUCUCUAUGGGGUCUCUAUGUGUCGCUAUGGGUCUCUGUGGGGUCUCUGUGGGGUCUCUAUGGGUCCCUAUGGAUCUCUAUGGGGUCUCUAUGUGUCGCUAUUGGUCUCUGUGGGGUCUCUAUGGGUCCCUAUGGGUCCCUAUGGGUCCCUAUGUGUCUCUAUGUGUCUCUAUGGGUCUCUAUGGGUCUCUAUGGGUCCCUAUGGGUCCCUAUGGGGUAUCUAUGUGUCUCUAUGGGUCCCUAUGUGUCUCUAUGGGGUUUCUAUAGGUCCCUAUGGGUCUCUAUGGGGUUUCUAUAGGUCUCCAUGUGUCCCUAUGUGUCUCUGGUUUCUCUAUGGUACCUCCGUAUCUCCCCAUAUUCCCCCCCCCUGCAGUUCCCCUCCCGGCCGCCAGGUGUCGCUGCCCGCUCACAGUGCACGACGAGGCGCACGGCGGCGCUGCCGCUCCCCUCGCUGUUGCUGCAGCUCAGGCCGUAGAGCCCCGCGUCCCCCCGCGUCGCGUUGGCCACCAGCAGCGCCGUCCCGCGCAGCCGCAGGCGAGCGCCCUCUGCUGGUGGGACGGGGAAUUGACUCUACGGACCAGUAUGGACCAGUAUGGACCAGUAUGGACCAGUAUGGGGAUGUAUAGGUUAGUAUGGACCAGUAUGGGGCAGUAUGGACCAGUAUGGACCAGUACAGAUCAAUAUGGGAAUGUAUAGCUUAGAAUGGACCAGUAUGAACCAGUAUGGACCAGUAUGGACCAGUAUGGACCAGUACAGACCAGUGUGGGGAUGUAUAGGUUAGUAUGGACCAGUACAGACCAGUACAGACCAGUAUGGGUCAAUAUAGGUUAGUAUGGACCAGUACAGGGCUGUAUGGGCCAGUGUGGUUCAUUAUGGGCCGGUAUGGACCAGUGUGGCCCAGUAUAGACCAGUACGGACCAGUACAGACCAAUAUGGGUGGGUACGGAUCAGUGCUGGUCAAUAUGGGUUUGUAUGGGGCAGGAUGGGUCUGUAUGGACCCUCCCAGUCCGUCCCAGUCCGUCCCAGUCCCCCCAUAUCCCCCCAUAUCCCCCCAUGCCCCCUCCCAG
Molecule: long non-coding RNA, 1266 nt
Filed under: Phasianus colchicus (ring-necked pheasant)
Lineage: Eukaryota; Metazoa; Chordata; Aves; Galliformes; Phasianidae
Description: lncRNA (ENSPCLG00000020216.1)
Source: RNAcentral